Molecule: ribosomal RNA, 421 nt
Filed under: uncultured bacterium
Lineage: Bacteria
Description: partial 16S ribosomal RNA
Rfam family: Bacterial small subunit ribosomal RNA
Source: RNAcentral
AUAUUGGACAAUUGGGGCAACCCCUAUCCAGCCAUGCCGCGUGUGUGAAGAUGGUUUUUGCAUUGUAAAGCACUCUAAGUUGGGAGGAAGGGCUUUUGGCUCAUAUCCUGAAGUUUUUACGUUACCAAUAGAAUAAGCACCGUCUAUCUCUGUCCCCGCAGCCGCGGUAAUACAGAGGGUGCAAGCGUUAAUCGGAAUUACUGGGCGUAAAGCGCGCGUAGGUGGUUCGGUAAGAUGGGUGUGAAAUCCCCGGGCUUAACCUGGGAACUGCUUUCAUAACUGCUGAGCUAGAGUACGGUAGAGGGUAGUGGAAUUUCCUGUGUAGCGGUGAAAUGCGUAGAUAUAGGAAGGAACACCAGUGGCGAAGGCGACUACCUGGACUGAUACUGACACUGAGGUGCGAAAGCGUGGGGAGCAAACA